CUGUCGUUUGACGUCCACGUUCGUGCCCGC
This 30-nucleotide small RNA is filed under the name Bombyx mori (domestic silkworm). RNAcentral's name for it is "ovarian small RNA-4982". The record is from RNAcentral. Lineage: Eukaryota; Metazoa; Arthropoda; Insecta; Lepidoptera; Bombycidae.